GUGAAGGCUUCAAUGCAUCACUACCAUCAACUGAUUUCCCAUCUAAUAGCUCAAAUGCCACAUCACAAUCUUCUAUUGGAGAAUCUUUAGUCUCACCAUCUUCUGCAGCUGAGAAAUCGCUCAUCUCAACAUCUUCUGCAGCUGAGAAAUCGCUCAUCUCAACAUCUUCACCAGCACCCAUUUCUUCUUCAUAAUCAAUCUUAGUAGAUUGUAAAGUUAGAAGACAUCAUUUUUAUUGUUGUUUUUGGAGAGGAAAGAGUGGUAAAAUACCUUGUUCC
Molecule: long non-coding RNA, 278 nt
Filed under: Gossypium barbadense (sea-island cotton)
Lineage: Eukaryota; Viridiplantae; Streptophyta; Magnoliopsida; Malvales; Malvaceae
Description: long non-coding RNA (GBAR_LNC010435)
Source: RNAcentral